Hibiscus syriacus is the source of this 99-nucleotide small nucleolar RNA. RefSeq annotates it as small nucleolar RNA snoR27. Lineage: Eukaryota; Viridiplantae; Streptophyta; Magnoliopsida; Malvales; Malvaceae. The transcript has a single exon. The record is from RefSeq and is a predicted model, not a curated record.
GUUGGAUCAAAGAUGCUAAUUUAAUACUGCGUUAUCUGUCUGAUCGUUCCUUCUUUGAAAGGAACUGAAGAUAACACUAAUCUCAUACUGAGAUCCAAU